AUUGAACGCUGGCGGCAUGCUUUACACAUGCAGGUCGAACGGCAGCGCGGGCUUCGGCCUGGCGGCGAGUGGCGAACGGGUGAGUAAUGCAUCGGAACGUGCCCAGUAGUGGGGGAUAGCCCGGCGAAAGCCGGAUUAAUACCGCAUACGACCUGAGGGUGAAAGCGGGGGACCGAAAGGCCUCGCGCUAUUGGAGCGGCCGAUGUCGGAUUAGCUAGUUGGUGGGGUAAAGGCUUACCAAGGCGACGAUCCGUAGCUGGUCUGAGAGGACGACCAGCCACACUGGGACUGAGACACGGCCCAGACUCCUACGGGAGGCAGCAGUGGGGAAUUUUGGACAAUGGGGGCAACCCUGAUCCAGCCGUGCCGCGUGCGAGAAGAAGGCCUUCGGGUUGUAAACCGCUUUUGUUCGGGAAGAAAUCCUCUGGGCUAAUACCCCGGGGGGAUGACGGUACCGGAAGAAUAAGCACCGGCUAACUACGUG
Molecule: ribosomal RNA, 484 nt
Filed under: uncultured bacterium
Lineage: Bacteria
Description: partial 16S ribosomal RNA
Rfam family: Bacterial small subunit ribosomal RNA
Source: RNAcentral